UUAUUUCCACAAUUCGCGAGCGCGAGAGGUGCUCUUUGUGCGUGCGUGUGUUUGUGUGAGACAAAAACAGACCAAACUUCCACAUUUUGUUCUUUGUUGAGACGGGAAGAACAAGGAGUAUAGACCAAAACUAUUUAAAGAUACAGAGAAGAUACAGAUGCAAUGCAGCCAUAAUGAAUAACUGAAUGACAACUUGGGGUGACAUAGCUGAGGAGCAGACACACUUUUGACAUCACGAAGCCUGGAGAUGGUGAACCACUUGGAGACCAGCCUCUUGGGGGCCAACCACUCAGACCAUGUAGCUCACCUGCAUAAGAGACCGCUUUUAGUCCAGCAUCACACAAAUCUUCAGAUCUGAUGGUCAAGUCUGACGGGGUCACUCACAUCCUCCCACUGCUGUCUGAGGCGAGAAGCUGCUCAUCAGAGACGGCACUCAGCAGACUGUUCUCCCUCUGUAGCUGAAACCAGAAGAAGGACAUGCCGUUCCAGUACUGCCCCAGCUCCCCGAGCCCCUUCGCAUGGCCCUCUUUCUCCGAGAGGGGCAGGGGGCUGCGGAAGUGGAGCUCGGGCGGGGACGGGGCCUCGUAUUCAGGGCUGCAGGGGGAGUAGGGUGCCUGGGGAUGGGGGCCGUUGAACCUCUCGUCUGCCUCGCUGCUGCGAUACGCCCCGUGGCUGUUGGACGGGGUGGAGCUGUGGCUGUGUGGCAGGGCUUGGGGCGAGAAGGCGUAGCUCUCUGGGGAGCCGGUGGGGGACAGCUCGGAGGGGUAACCGUACUCCUGAGGUGGGGGUGUCGCGUGAUCUUGGGUGGAACAGGGAACGUCGAGAUACCAGGGGGUUCCCUGCCAGUCGGGACAGUACUGAGGUGAAGUGCUGUCCUCGCUUUGGGGCUGUUUGUGGAAUUCGCUGGCUUUGAGAUCCUCCUCAAGAACCUCCACGAUGAUUGCCAGGUCCUCCAGACUCGUUUGACGUUUAUUCUGGAAGAAAUUACGUUUGCUUUUAUAAUUUUUUUCAUUUUUAGGACCUGAAUCUAUUUUAAAAAGGACUGCAGAUGUUUCUUCUUAAAACCCUGCUUUAAAAAAUAUUGUUAUUUCCUCAUAUUGUAAUCAAGAAUGAAGUAGAGGGAACUAAUAUUCUGAAAGAAAUUCUGGUUUUCAGUUGAGUACUGUAGUUUAGUGGUAGGGUCGGCUGAACUGGGGGGCUUCUGCAUGGCUCAGUCCGAAGCCUCCUGCUGCAACAGAAGGCCAGGCCUUUUGGCCUAGAUAUCCAAGUUCAGAGUUCAGGUGAUUCCAGUAGAAAACCGGAAACCGCAAAAUGUAAUCAAAUGGGUUCCACCACCAAGAAAUUUAAAGUUUAUAAACAUAUCUUCUAAUAUUUUAAUCCCCAUUACAGUGGCCAAUUGCAAAUUAAAAUGUAGCUAUAAUAUUUUUAAUUAAAUACAAUGUUUUAAUUAAAAAAAAUAUAUUGAGUCCAGGAUAAUUGAAUAUAUUCUGCAAUAAUAAAUACAAUAAAGAUGCAUUUUGUUCUUUUUAAACUCA
Long non-coding RNA from Anguilla rostrata (American eel), 1535 nucleotides. RefSeq lists it as uncharacterized. The transcript has 5 exons. The record is from RefSeq and is a predicted model, not a curated record. NCBI's taxonomy places the organism in Eukaryota, Metazoa, Chordata, Actinopteri, Anguilliformes, Anguillidae.